This is a non-coding RNA of Schizosaccharomyces pombe (fission yeast), 1526 nucleotides long. The record is from the annotation of a GenBank genome assembly. Lineage: Eukaryota; Fungi; Ascomycota; Schizosaccharomycetes; Schizosaccharomycetales; Schizosaccharomycetaceae.
AGCCUGGCAGUUGAUAACUUUCGACGAUGAUUCAGGCUCGGAAUGAGGAAUAACAGAAGGGUUUUCUUUUAAUUUAAUCACAGAAUCCUUUGAAAUGAGGUCCUCCUGAGGAAGUAAAUUGGACUUCCGGACAGAAGGGCUAGCCAUCAAUAAAGCUGAAUCCUCUUCAUCAACAUUUUUCGUUUGACGUGUUGAAACUUCAGGGGUAACAAGAGGUAUGUUUUUAAUAUUCCAUGGUGACAGAAACGUUGGUGUCGCAAAAAUUCCAGAAUGUCUGGAGGAGGAUACUGAACCUGGACUGGCGCUUAGUUCACUUCGAUUUUCUAAGGCAUUAUAUGAAGCCGGAUCUCGGGGCCUCUCUCUUCCUUGAUAAUCUUUAAGAUACAAUGCAAUUUGUUCGUCAGGUAAUUGUAAAACUGAUUCUUGGGUAGUACUUUCGAGCGCGCAUAAUCUAAUCAAAUACUCCAGUAAAGUUAAAUUAGGUUGAUCUUUUAUAGUCGAUGGAAAGGAAGACUUUUUCUUUGCAACGGAUUCUUGUUUUUUGAUGCCUAAAAGCUGUAGCCUAGCAGCUUCAGAAUCACUAAGAGAUUCUGCAAGUUCAUCAGAUUCGUCUAAUGAUUCAUUAGGUAUUGAUACCAAAGGAAGUGCUUCUAAAGCUAUCCAGUUCGAAGGUGCUGUAUUUGAAGAAUACUCUGUUUCAUCAUCUGCAUACUUGAGUAAUAAUACGGGAGUUUGUACAUCAUCUAACCGAAGAAGUUUACCGGACAAACUAAAAAAAAGCGUGCGCACAUCAUUUAGUGAAAUGGUUUUGGUGACAGGAGUCUCAUCUUCAUCAUGGUAACGAUCAUCAUCAAAAGAUUGUUUUAAAGAUAAAGCAUAGGCUAGAACCGUAUCCUUGGACUUCAACCGUUGAGGAGGCAUGCGAAACAUUUUGGCGAUACAAACAGGCAUCUCUUCUUUCCACAUGACUAAAUCAUUGCUUAUAUAACCAGACUUGGCGUGGUUAUCUAUAAUUUUAUAAGUUCGCAGGAAAAAUGUGGGGCCAACUUGUAAAGGUUCAUUUCCAGUAAAUGCAACAUUCGCCCUAUAUAUGUAUGAAUUAGCUCGUAGAAGUUGGGAAAAUGAAGUAGAUUUUGGAAGAGAAGAUGAAAUAGAAGCACCAGAAGUAGUGAUGGACAGAUUUAAGAGAGGAACUGCAUCAUUAAUUUUGAGAAGUAAAGUUUUCAUUUCACGAAGAAUAGACGUAUCAACGUUCUUCUGCAAAGUUUCUUUUUCUGAGGAAGGCGGAAAUUCCGAAUGAGCGGCGCUUAAAACAUGCUUGGUGAAUUGUUCGAUGUCAGCGUGCAAAGAAUCCACUAAUUGCUUAGUACUCUUAAAAUUUUCAUUUUCACCGACUGACAUUAUUUCAAUUAGUUCGAUAGCAGGCGUCACAACUCGAAUCAUUUCAAGCAGUUGAGUUUUCACAGACUCCAAUUCACUUUGAUCAUCUGCAGAGGCACGUUUAAUAUAGCUGCUAACUUGCUGAA